GGGUGUAGCUCAGUUGGUUAGAGCGCCGGCCUGUCACGCCGGAGGCCGCGGGUUCGAGUCCCGUCCGCCCCGCCA
RNAcentral lists this transfer RNA (75 nucleotides) under Labilithrix sp. RNAcentral's name for it is "tRNA-Asp". It matches the Rfam family "tRNA". Rfam says of the family: Transfer RNA (tRNA) molecules are approximately 80 nucleotides in length. Their secondary structure includes four short double-helical elements and three loops (D, anti-codon, and T loops). The record is from RNAcentral. Lineage: Bacteria; Pseudomonadati; Myxococcota; Polyangiales; Labilitrichaceae.